RNAcentral lists this ribosomal RNA (254 nucleotides) under uncultured bacterium. RNAcentral's name for it is "partial 16S ribosomal RNA". It matches the Rfam family "Bacterial small subunit ribosomal RNA", at positions 524 to 776 of the family's 1533-position model. The record is from RNAcentral.
UACGGGGGGAGCAAGCGUUGUUCGGAUUUACUGGGCGUAAAGGGCGCGUAGGCGGCCACCGCAAGUCAAUUGUGAAAUCUCCGGGCUUAACUCGGAAAGGUCAACUGAUACUGCGGGGCUAGAGUGCGGAAGGGGCAACUGGAAUUCUCGGUGUAGCGGUGAAAUGCGUAGAUAUCAGGAGGAAUACCGAUGGCGAAGGCAGGUCUCUGGGCUGACACUGACGCUCAUGCACGAAAGCGUGGGGAGCAAACAGG